GAAAUUAUUUUAAAUGGCCGCAGUAAUUUGACUGUGCAAAGGUAGCAUAAUCAUUAGUUUUUUAAUUAAAAGCUUGUAUGAAGGGUUGGACGAGAUAAAAUCUGUCUCUAUUUAAUUUAUUAUAAAAUUUAAUUUUUAAGUUAAAAAGCUUAAAUUUUUUUAAAAGACGAGAAGACCCUAUAGAUCUUUAUAGUUUUGAUUUUGAAUUUAAUUAAUAAAUUUUUAUGAUUUAUAAUUUAAACUAUUUUAUUGGGGUAAUAGAAAGAUUAAAAUAAUUCUUUUUUUUCUUUAAACAUUUAUUUAUGUUUUUAAUGAUCCAAUUUUAUUGAUUAUAAGAUUAAGUUACCUUAGGGAUAACAGCGUAAUUUUUUUAGAGAGUUCUUAUCGAUAAAAAAGUUUGCGACCUCGAUGUUGGAUUAAAGAUUAGUUUAGGUGUAGAAGUUUAAAUUUUUGGUCUGUUCGACCAUUAAAUCUUUACAUGAUCUGAGUUCAGACCGGCGUAAGCCAGGUCGGUUUCUAUCUUUAAUAAUUUUAAAAUAUUUUAGUACGAAAGGACCAAAUAUUUAAUAUAUUUAUAUUUAAUUUUUUGAAUAUUAUU
RNAcentral lists this ribosomal RNA (598 nucleotides) under Lissopterus sp. LIM2. RNAcentral describes it as "partial 16S ribosomal RNA". It matches the Rfam family "Bacterial large subunit ribosomal RNA", at positions 1914 to 2760 of the family's 2925-position model. The record is from RNAcentral. Lineage: Eukaryota; Metazoa; Arthropoda; Insecta; Coleoptera; Carabidae.